UAUAAAUGGAGAAGAUAUCAAUCGCCCGACAUUAGAAACUGCCAACCAUGAAUUACCUUUGGAUCAAUUUGAUUGUAGUCCUUUACGCUUUCGUACAAUGCGGAAGAGUGCCGGAUAAUUUUGUACCAGACCCUCGCUGCUCGUUGCUGCCAACGGAUGAUGAAAGUGGCACCACUUUUUGUCCAGAAGGAACCUUCUUAUUUAGUUUCGAUACGGAUACGAAUACCUGCCAGAAUUGGACGUUCUAUGGCUGCAAUAUACCAUAUGGCAAUAAAUUCCACAGUUACGAAGCAUGUCAAAUUGCUUGCAAUCCUAGAGGUAGAUUACAACGAAAUUAGGAAAACAAAUAAGCACUAAUUUCUAUCCAAUCAACUAGUUUGAAUGGCAGUUUCACCUGAUCUUUACCUCUUUUAAAUAAAGUGCUCCAUUUGCUCGACACAUUUAA
Drosophila willistoni is the source of this 445-nucleotide long non-coding RNA. RefSeq lists it as uncharacterized. The record is from RefSeq and is a predicted model, not a curated record. The transcript is spliced from 2 exons. NCBI's taxonomy places the organism in Eukaryota, Metazoa, Arthropoda, Insecta, Diptera, Drosophilidae.